This 2073-nucleotide ribosomal RNA is filed under the name Triticum aestivum (bread wheat). RNAcentral describes it as "partial small subunit ribosomal RNA". Lineage: Eukaryota; Viridiplantae; Streptophyta; Magnoliopsida; Poales; Poaceae. The record is from RNAcentral.
AUGAGGCUGAAGAGGGGGUAUUGCGCCUGCAGCAAAGAAAGCCAUCUGAUAUUUUUGUUUUCCCGCCUCCAGAUUCAUCAGCCAGUACCUUCUCUCAUCAAGACAUAUUUGGCUACUCAUCAGAGGUUCCGGGACUUAAGUUCGAUGAACAUGAAAGGUUCUUCAUUUGGAAGGAAAGGUGUCCCUGUUACCUCACCGUAUGACGCAGCGCAUACAUACCAUAUUGUUCAAUUCCAAGAAUACGAGGGAGGACCAAUGUUCCAGUAUCCUGUCCGAGAGUGCGAUGGGUACGUUGGUGGCUGGAGAGUUCUGAUGCACCCAGAAGAUGCUGAAACGGAACCAUGGUUUGAAUUUGCCCUCUUUCAUCUGCCAAGGCGCUUGUUUGUCAAUGUGGUUCCUACGAACUACCCCUUUGCUUACAAUAGCAUCAAAUCAAUCAAGCUAUCAAUCAAAAUACUCCCAGAAGUAUCCAAAUUCCUGUUGAAAACCCGCAAUUGGUAUGUGGAUCAGAGUACGAACACCCGAAAGAGAAAGGCACCGACAGUAACACCGGAAGGGAUAGUAUAUCUUAAUACUAUGAUUUUCCUUUGCGGUGAAGGCAGGCGCUAUUGGUUGUGUCUGAAAUUUGCAUGCCAGGGUCUAGAAAGCAUCAUACCCAUUAGUCCGGAUAAUGACAUAGAGAAUAUGGUUAAAUCAUGGGGAGAUGUAUGCGAGCACAUUCUAUCUUUAUAUCUGGUUGAGCUCGAGGAAGGGAUGGGCUUAAUCACUAAUCUCCAUGAGUUGGCACGCCAUGGCUUCAGGCGGUUUCUUGCCGAGGAUUCACUGAUGACCUUGCAAAGAAAAUGCAAUGGGAUGCUAUGGUGCACCGGUCCCGACAAGGAAAUCAAAUCUGAGUAUCUUUGUAAUGGCAACAUGCUUCUUCUGAAACAUCACAAAGAUCUUGUCCAGAAGAUUCUGAUGAGACAAAUGGGGUUCAAAGGAGCGUUCAAAGACACGCCAAAGUUUGUUCAAAUCGAACAUGGUGCAUGGAGAAAAGGCGAGUUCAUAAUCAAAGAAGAAGAUAUCACGCAAUAUUUGAAGCUUCUUGAAGAACGACGCCCUUGGGUCAAAACAGAUUUGGACGCUGAUGCCCACACUGGGCAGAGCUCCAGCCAGAUGGAUGGUGGUCAGAGCUCUUGCAAGAGUUUAGAUAUGGAAACAAAUUUGAUACUCAAAGUUCUUAAAGAACAACUCCCUUGGCCCCAAACUAAUUUGGAAGCUGAUGCCCACACUGCGCAGAGCUCCUGCCAGAUGGAUGCUGGACAGAGCUCUUGCCAGAGUGAAGAUAUGGAAACAAAUCUAGAUGCUGAACACUCAGUCAAGAAUGACAAGGUCCAAAUAUAUCUAGAUUCCAAGCUGGCUACUCAGAUGAUGCUAGAUGAUCUGAAUGAGCUGAGUAUGGACAACUCAAAGUUGCUGCCACUGCCGGGGCCGCAGCCUGCUCAGGAGCCCAGCUCCAGCACCGCAGCUGAAGGACAUCUUUUGUACGAGAAGGUGGUUGAAAUCACAAAGGUGCAGAUAAAAAGUUUCCAUGAGGGCUGCCUGGGCCAGAGGUUGGUCCGACAACUCUUAAAGGAUUUCAUGUGGCUGCUGGGCCCAGAGGUGUACUCUAGCGCCACAGCUGGAGUCUUUCUAGACAAGACGAUGCUUCAGGAGGCGAUAUCCAAUUUGCUGAAUGGGGAGGGCAUGCAGGACAUUGUCAAGAUAGUGAUUCCCAAAACUUUUCCCAAAGAAAUUCUGAAUGUGCUCAUGGCCGAGUGUGCUGGAAAAUACCCAGAGUGGUUGCUGACUCACAAAGAGAAUCUAGGUGAAGAAAAAUACAAGCAGUGCGAGAGUCAAAUGGAGCUCAUUAUGAACCUUGAUGUGGUUUAUGAAGAAACUCCUGAGAAUUUCUCCAAGAUACUGGAAGUGAUGUACAGGAUCGGAAGAUGCGGCUUCCCUCCAAGUGAUAUAAUUUCUGGCAUUUCUCCUAACCUUGUCGAGCAAUUAUUUACUGGGAUGCUUGAGCUGCUGCAGAGUAUGGACCAACUAUAA